RNAcentral lists this microRNA (22 nucleotides) under Columba livia (rock pigeon). Its description in RNAcentral is "cli-miR-2984-5p". Lineage: Eukaryota; Metazoa; Chordata; Aves; Columbiformes; Columbidae. The record is from miRBase by way of RNAcentral.
AGCCUGCUGGGAGCGAAAUUGA